Molecule: small RNA, 258 nt
Filed under: Oryza sativa Japonica Group (Japanese rice)
Lineage: Eukaryota; Viridiplantae; Streptophyta; Magnoliopsida; Poales; Poaceae
Description: sRNA Os05g0206600
Source: RNAcentral
GACGGUGAUGCAAUGCCGCGUAUACCUCUCACGGCCGGCGCGACAGCCAUGACGGCGGUGGAGCUCGCCGGCGGCGGCCGGAGGCGGUGGCUGGCUGGGGACGUAGUCCAUGCCGGUAUAUCUGUCACGUAUAUGUACGAUGUAUCUAUCUAUGUAUUUAGUGUCCAGCAAGCAAUUAUGUACUGAUGUAGUAGUAAGCAAUACUUAUCAGAAUAAUAAUAAUAAUUAUAAUAAUAAUAUAAAUUCUCAAUUUUGGCC